AAGGCUUGAGACAGAUGCUCCUGAAUCCCUUUGCCUGUUGGACCUUGAAGUAUUCCUACUCGGGAUGGUAUUCACUUGCAACUUGGAACUGCAAGAGAAGUUUAACACUCGUAAUGAAACGCAUCAGCCACCUUUCUUACCGUUGCUGCUGUGCAAACAGUUCUCUACUGAGAAGCAAAGAUCCUGGUGGGAUGCUGUUCGUGCUCUUAUGCAGAAAAAAAACAACGCCAGAAUCAGUGACAAACCUGAAGUUUCUUGUCCCGCAUGGAUUAAGUACUCUGCGAGCGCUGGAGAAGCACGGCCUUCAGCCUGCCUUGAUUAUACACUGGGCAAGAAGCCUGCAAAAUACA
This is a non-coding RNA of Meleagris gallopavo (turkey), 350 nucleotides long. The record is from RefSeq and is a predicted model, not a curated record. NCBI's taxonomy places the organism in Eukaryota, Metazoa, Chordata, Aves, Galliformes, Phasianidae.